This 2806-nucleotide long non-coding RNA is filed under the name Varroa destructor (honeybee mite). RNAcentral describes it as "uncharacterized LOC111250933, transcript variant X3". Lineage: Eukaryota; Metazoa; Arthropoda; Arachnida; Mesostigmata; Varroidae. The record is from RNAcentral.
UCACCAAGUUCAUACACCAGGUUUUCUUCAGGUCGAUGUUUUAAAACUUUCAUGUUAAGCUUCGAACGCAUAACAUUUAGCAGCAUACCUUUACUGUUUCCGCAAAAGAUGGCGCUGCUGUCUCUGAACACUGUGAGAUUUGAAUACAUGAUUAGCUCUUGUUUUCAGAGUGUGUGAUGACGUGUUAUUUGUUUAUUUCGCAAGAGUGUCUGCUACGUUGGGCCAGCCAUGGCAGCACACGUUGUAGACCUGAAUUUGAUACUGAUGCACUUUGUGAUGGUGUUUUUAGAAGAAUACAAGUAGUCCUACCCGCGAGUCUUCAGUUUAUUUCUUAUUGAGUUAAACGGUAUCAUCAAGAAUAGUUAACGAACGUUUAUCAAUCAUAUAUCCUCCCCUCACCCGGUCAACCCAAAUAGCAUCGACAAAUAUACAAAACGAAAAAACAAUAUAUAUAUAUAUAUAUUUGAAGUUGCUUGACAUUUUUAGUAAAGAACAAAUAGAUGAACUUGCUGGCUGGUGUAUUUUAUGGCUAUUAUAGUCUGCUUGUAAUUAAAUAUACACUGUCGUGCCAGGAAAUGGUCACAAUCACAUGCGACGAAGAUGUUAUACUAUACUAUAAAGCCACUUCUGGAUUGCAAGCUCACCUCAAGGACCCAUUUUCACCAUAAAAUAGCGGAUCUAUACAAAUACAUUGACCCACAAAUUUUGCCCGAAGAACUGGGGGGUACUUCUGGGCCAAUGAAACCAGGAAAACUUGAAGAGAAUUUCUUGGCCAGUCACGACGACAUCGUUCAACUCAACUACUGCGGCUACAUCAUAUAACUGAACUACAAUUUGAUUCCUUGAAUGUGAUAGAGGGUGCUAUCAAGGAACUCUGAUCGUCAUUAGACACGUUCCAAGGGACACUGCGACAUCGCUGCUACAUUGAUCUUUUACUUGGUUGCAUUUUAACAGAGACUGUUAGAAUGUCAUUUGCGUGGGGCUGUAUAGUGAAGUCCUUGUACACUCUAUCAAGACCUUGUCAGGGCAAAAAGGUACAAAUAAAAAGAUACUAACAACACUACUCUUUCUGAAGCUGUCUGGGAUAUGGCGUGCAACUCAAGCCUUGCACCAGCUGACAAAAAUUGCAACUUAUAAAUGCGUCCUUCUUCGUAGGAAGGUGUGUGCGGAAGGUGAUUGAGCAAGGAUCCAAUGCGAUCUGCGAUGGAAACGUCGACCUGCCGCUCAUGUUAUUAGGGAAACGUUUAAAGAUACACAUGUCUUGAUGCGGAAUUGAGCAAAUCGAAACCGUGACCGUAGAGAAUACCAGUUACAAUGAACGUUCAGGUCGAUACAUGCAAAAUAUGUCAUACUGGUAGUUAUCGCUAUUUAACCAGUGCUUAUGAACAAGUCACAUCUAAAUAGUCCCAAUAAGUAGUAGCCAGGCUCUACAGAUGUGCCUAAUUUACUGCUCGUGGAACUCAUCAAUGACGAUUUAGACUAAGAGAAAAACGGAGCUGAACAUGACAGAGAAAUGAAUUCGUUAGCUAACUUAGUCUGUAAACACUUUGUCCAAAGUGAUCCAUUCACAUUGUGUGCAUUUGGGACAAAUGAUUGCCUACAACCAGGUACGUAGCCUCUAUACUGUCCACAAACAACAGACAAAGACUUUGUUGUAUUACGGAUUCGUUGUAUCGGAGGAUUGCUUCAAGAUUAUAUCGAGCGUUUUCACAGGAGACAACUGUUCCUGUUCGUAUGACAGGAUUUUAGAAAAAUACGAUACUGUAUGAUGGGCUAAUGUCACCUUUCAGAGUUUUACGGUUUAAGGCAUAUGGAUAUCCUCGCAUCAUCCGCAAACAGCCAUUUUACGGAUCAGAAGACGUAGGUCUCAUCUUUUUACCUUCUUGGAGACUACUAUCGCUAGCGCGAGUCGAUCGGAUGUUCUCGUAAUGACCUGCUCUGUCGCAAAGUAUACUAGUAUAGAGCCAUGAAUGACAUCCAAUGCCUAUGCUAAACCUAUAAUUGCUAUCGUUUAUAGUAUCAUUAAUAGAAUGAGAUACAAAGCUUAAGAUACUGAGAGAAUGUGAGCCGGCGAAAGAACAGAUUUUUUUUUUAGCAUCGUGCGAAAAUCAGAACCACGCACUUCGAAACGAACAUUUCCAUCAGAUACCCCGAAAGACGUUUCAGAUAACUUAUUCUAGCUAAUCAAAACAGUUCUCAAUUGAUCUAUGUAAUUCACUGAAAUAUUACGAGUUUAAAAAGUUGUUUAUGCCAAUGGCGCUAUCGACGGGAUUAUCGGAGCCGAUUUAGCUAGAAUUAUCUGAUUUUUACGUGUUACGACAUGCUCCAAGCAUAAUGGAGCGAUUAAUUGUUACUUUACUACGAAUCCCGAAAUUACUGGCAAUGAGUGGACGGCACGAUAAAAGUUAGAAAAAGUACAUAAAUAAAGUUACAACAACGACCAAGCCUAAUCUCCACUUCUUUCUAUACGGCUCAUACGCGUUUUGUGGGGCUAAUGGAAGUGCAGCGGGCAAAGACGGGUGCGGGAAUGGUGAUGUUUUGGGCAUACCGAGAACUCCGAUCUUUAAUCUCCUCUACAAACUUCUCUCGGAGGAAUAAAUGAGUCUAAUAGUGCUACAAUGGUGCCAUUUAUAUUUUACAUACCAUUUAAGAGAGAUUUCCGUAAAAAUGGACGUUUGUCUUGGAUAUUCUAGAUUUAAGCAGAGCUGGGUAAAAUGCGGAUCCUGCGUAUGUCAUGAGCGGCUUAACAUGUAUCUUGAUUAGUCCGAUGUAUAAAGUCGGGUCUUUCAGAACAAAUAGGUGUAAU